This 418-nucleotide long non-coding RNA is filed under the name Homo sapiens (human). RNAcentral describes it as "non-protein coding lnc-RNPC3-7:1". Lineage: Eukaryota; Metazoa; Chordata; Mammalia; Primates; Hominidae. The record is from RNAcentral.
CAGUGUGGCGAUUCCUCAAGGAUCUAGAACUAGAAAUACAAUUUGACCCAGCCAUCCAAACCAGGUAUGACAACAGGUAUUGCUGAAAUUAAUAUUUCUUAUUAAAAUUAUUCUUGAAGACUACCCGCAGACUUUUCUUGCUCAUUCAUUCUUGGGUGCCUUUGAUUUCUUUUAUUUUUUUCUCUGAUUAGCCUUAUUUUACCACACCUUCAAAAACUAGGGCAAAUUUUAUGUCUUGUGUCUCUCCCAGACCACUUUCUUUUUUAAAAAAAUAAUGCCAAGAAUUGUGAUUGAGGUCAUGAAUUUGUUCAUUUUGUAAUAUGUUAUUGGGUUAGGACUUGCACACAUAUGGGGUAGGCAGGAACUACUUACUGGCCACAUUGUUGAAAUUCUGCAAUAAAAAUGUAUGCUAUUGGAG